AUGUCGACCAUGCUCUCCAUGAACCACGUACGAGCCGGGGCUUUGAUAAUGUUGAAGCGCGCUUGGAGAACCCCGAACGCCCCCUCCACAUCCUUCCGAGCAGCCUCCUGCUUCUGCGCAAAAAGUGUAACACCCCGAGUUUUCGUGCACGGAUUUUUGGAGUAUAAAAAAAAAUUUUGGACGAAGAAACACUUGGAAUUAAAGUGCAAGGAAUUUAAUUUUUAUGAACUAUAAUUGUUGAAAAGAAGAAAUGCCAAUUAAUCAAAUAGAAUGCUCUAGACCUAAUUAUACACAAGAAAUGAAUAGCUAUGUCUUAGCUAUUCUAAAGGACAAAGUCUACAAGUUUGACUCUAGCUAGAAAUGGUAAUGGAAUCAAAGAAAGCUAAGCAUGAGUCAUCUUCUCUUUCCUUCUCAAUUUUAAGACAACCACAAGAUGCCAAGUUCCACCUUGCAACCUGCCAAGAUACACCAAAAUGGUUAUAUAUUUCCUGUCUAAGAAUCAAAGGAAAACAAAGUCUCUUUGCAAAAAUAGAGGUAAUGUGCAGAUGGUAGUAAGCAAGCUGCCAAGACAGCCUUAACCCUCCAAGUAUCACAGAAAUGGGAAGCAUCAAAUAGGACUUGAAGAAAGCCUCUGCAAUAUUUUGCUCAACACCAAAUAGGAACAAGUGGCAUGGUGUUUUGAGUUCCCUAGGAUAACCGAAAGAGGGAAAAACUCAUCCAUAGUCAAGGAAUCAAAUAAGGGUGAGAUAAGCAAGAUAUCUCCUAUCCCCAAGACUUUCACCAAUUUAUGCAUAGAAGCUUUUAUCUCAAAUUCAAAAGAGAAGGAAUCUUUAUCCAAAAUUAGCUACAAAAUGCCAAGGAAUUUGACUAUAAAUACCAGCCCCACCACCAUCUCCUUCCACACACCUCUCUAUAUUCACACGACACAAGAAGUGCAGCAAGAGAGGAAGGAGUGGCGGCAAGCUUAAGGGCAGUCCGGCGUUCGAAGGAGUCAUCAAAUGAGAGGUUAUCUCCGCGAGCUAAGGUUGGAGUCAGGAAAAAUCAAAUUAAGGAGUUUAAGCGAACAAGGUUGAGCAGUGAUGACGGCGGGCGGUGUUGAGCAUAGACGAUGAAGAUCCUUCGAUAAGAAUAGUACUCGGAUGCGACGUGUCUCCAUACACGACGUCAUCUACUCUUGACUCUUCCGCUGCAAUGUAAAAAAAUCUAGUUUGCACUCUGUUUCAUGCACUCUGAUAUAUACUAUUUGAGUUAUUUUGGUUCAA
Molecule: long non-coding RNA, 1262 nt
Organism: Salvia splendens (bonfire salvia)
Lineage: Eukaryota; Viridiplantae; Streptophyta; Magnoliopsida; Lamiales; Lamiaceae
Exons: 3
Source: RefSeq, a predicted model, not a curated record